GUUCACUUCCUUAUUGGCGGACGGCAGUUGCUCCAUGAGUUCCCCCACGACUGCCUUGAUCCAUGGAGGAGGAGGAUGGGUUCGGUAGUCAAGUUGGUUAGAGCCCACCCUGAUUAAGGUGGAGUUCGCAAGUUGGAUUCUGCCCAGACCCACCAUUUUCAGGGUGUUCCCGGUAGAAUUCCGGGGCCUUAGUUCAGUUGGGAGAGCCCUGCCCUUCCCGCCAGGAGUCCACGGGUUUGAUCCCGUUGGGUUCAACCAUUCCGAAUGGCCACCACCUUUUAAGGCUUGGAAAUGACCAUUCCACCAGGCCGGUGUUGAAUGUUGAUUUUUAGUCUUUUGAUUAGAUCGUUCUUUAAAAAUUUGGGUAUGUGAUAGAAAGAUAGAUUGAAGGUUACUUUCACUGGUAACGGAUCAGCUUAAGGUAAAAUUUUUAAGUGCUCUUAGAGCAUGCGAAUUUUCGGCGAAUGUCGUCUUCACAGUAUA
RNAcentral lists this unclassified non-coding RNA (483 nucleotides) under Pseudomonas sp. GP36. RNAcentral's name for it is "partial 16S-23S ribosomal RNA intergenic spacer". The record is from RNAcentral. Lineage: Bacteria; Pseudomonadati; Pseudomonadota; Gammaproteobacteria; Pseudomonadales; Pseudomonadaceae.